GACGAACGCUGGCGGCGUGCUUAACACAUGCAAGUCGAACGGAAAGGCCUGCUUUCCCUUGUGGAUUGCGGGUACUCGAGUGGCGAACGGGUGAGUAACACGUGAGUGAUCUGCCCCCAACUUGGGUAUAAGCCUGGGAAACUGGGUCUAAUUCCCGAUAGGACUGCAGGGUGGUGCCUGUGGUGGAAAACGAUUUUCUAGUGGUUGGGGAUGAGCUCGCGGCCUAUCAGCUUGUUGGUGGGGUAAUGGCCUACCAAGGCGGCGACGGGUAGCCGGCCUGAGAGGGUGGACGGGCACAUUGGGACUGAGAUACGGCCCAGACUCCUACGAGAGGCAGCAGUGGGGAAUAUUGCACAAUGGGCGGAAGCCUGAUGCAGCGACGCAGAGUGGGGGAUGACGGCCUUCGGGUUGUAAACUCCUUUCGACCGCGAGGAAGCCACCUGGUUGGAAGGGUGGUGACGGUAGUGGUAGAAGAAGCACCGGCUAACUAAGUG
This 494-nucleotide ribosomal RNA is filed under the name uncultured bacterium. Its description in RNAcentral is "partial 16S ribosomal RNA". It matches the Rfam family "Bacterial small subunit ribosomal RNA", at positions 28 to 507 of the family's 1533-position model. The record is from RNAcentral.